This 499-nucleotide ribosomal RNA is filed under the name uncultured bacterium. RNAcentral describes it as "partial 16S ribosomal RNA". It matches the Rfam family "Bacterial small subunit ribosomal RNA", at positions 28 to 507 of the family's 1533-position model. The record is from RNAcentral.
GAUGAACGCUGGCGGCGUGCCUAAUACAUGCAAGUCGAGCGAACAGACGAGAGUGCUUGCACUCUCUGACGUUAGCGGCGGACGGGUGAGUAACACGAGGGUAACCUACCUAUAAGACUGGGAUAACUUCGGGAAACCGGAGCUAAUACCGGAUAAUAUUUAGCUUCGCAUGAAGCAAUAGUGAAAGACGGUUCUGCUGUCACUUAUAGAUGGACCCGGGGUGUAUUAGCUAGUUGGUGAGGUAACGGCUCACCAAGGCAACGAUACAUAGCCGACCUGAGAGGGUGAUCGGCCACACUGGGACUGAGACACGGCCCAGACUCCUACGGGAGGCAGCAGUAGGGAAUCUUCCGCAAUGGACGAAAGUCUGACGGAGCAAUGCCGCGUGAGUGAAGAAGGUUUUCGGAUCGUAAAACUCUGUUGUAAGGGAAGAACAAGUACGUUAGUAACUGAACGUACCUUGACGGUACCUUACCAGAAAGCCACGGCUAACUACGUG